RNAcentral lists this ribosomal RNA (279 nucleotides) under Mediterraneibacter faecis JCM 15917. RNAcentral describes it as "[Ruminococcus] faecis JCM 15917 partial 16S ribosomal RNA". It matches the Rfam family "Bacterial small subunit ribosomal RNA", at positions 524 to 802 of the family's 1533-position model. Lineage: Bacteria; Bacillati; Bacillota; Clostridia; Lachnospirales; Lachnospiraceae. The record is from RNAcentral.
UACGUAUGGUGCAAGCGUUAUCCGGAUUUACUGGGUGUAAAGGGAGCGUAGACGGAGUGGCAAGUCUGAUGUGAAAACCCGGGGCUCAACCCCGGGACUGCAUUGGAAACUGUCAAUCUAGAGUACCGGAGAGGUAAGCGGAAUUCCUAGUGUAGCGGUGAAAUGCGUAGAUAUUAGGAGGAACACCAGUGGCGAAGGCGGCUUACUGGACGGUAACUGACGUUGAGGCUCGAAAGCGUGGGGAGCAAACAGGAUUAGAAACCCCUGUGGCUGACGACU